AGUCAUUUUACUAAAGUUAGGGUUCGUCGCCGUCCACUCCCCCUAUAUAUUGAGUAGGAGGCCAACACCGUCUCGCCACGGUCUCUUCUUCGUUGGCUUCGCCGUCUCCUCCAAAUUACGACCUUCAAUCUACUGCCUGACAUGGAUUCUCUCGUUCAUGCGCUCACUUGUAGUGCUGAUGAGUGGGCCAGUGAUAAGAAACAAGAUCAAUUGUCUGUACCAUCUGAGAUCCGUAAUGGCCUUUGGGCGGUGAUGAGCCAGAAAAAAGAUACCAUCAAACUCAGAAGAAGAUAACGAUGUCGAUACAUCUACUAGCCUCUGAGCCAGCCAUUUCUUGGUCUUUUUUUUUUCUCUCUUCUUUGGACUUUCUUGGACAAAAAAAAGAAUGAUUUUUAUUGGUUUUUGUUUGAUUUCUUUCGAUCGGAGAUGGAAUCGGAUCGAAAGUGGAGGCAACAAAUUAGAGUCUCUGAUGCGCUUCUUUUAAUAGCGUCGUCAGCGCUGUACGUUGCCGAGAACGAGGCAAGGCUGAGAUUCUGGCAUAUGCCAUUCGUAUUAUUUGGCUUAUGCAUUCAGAUGCUCGACAUCUCGAAAUCUGGUUUUAUGUGAUUUCUUUGAGAAUAAUCGUCGUCAAACGUAUACUGAAGUUGGAAUUUAUUAUGUCUAAUUGUCACAAUAUUGUAUGCGUUUCUUUUUGGUCUUUGUGAGAGAUUUGUUCGUUCUUUUUAGUCUUUGUGAUAACAUUCAUUUGUCAUUUAUAGAUUUUGUGGAAAUCUUGGGGUAGGAACUAAGUAGGUAGUAGCUUCAGUUUAUGUGCGAUCAACUUGUCUGGGUGUCUGGCCUCACCAACAAUGUCGAUUGAAGGUUGCAGUGUGGCUCAUAUGGAAUUGGUUUGUUUUUUGAUUCACCUGGGGAAACAUUACUACAAUGGUCGAGCUUUCAUAAGAUCAUCUAAAAUCUUUUGAAGAAGGAUUUUAGGCAUAAAGGAACCCAAGAAAGAUCUUAACUUUUGAUGUUCAACAAAGUCAUUAAGCAAUUCUAUUGUCUAUUUUGCAACCUUGUAAGUCAAUAAUUCCUAUUGCAUGAGGACCCAUGAAAGGCUCUGUGAUUUGUAUGAGUUCAUUAUUUGAAUUACAAGGCAUUUGCUUUCCACAUGAUCAGGCAGUCAUUAAAAAAGAUACUUCAAUUGGAUCAAGAUAAUAACCUCUGUAUUGGUGCCAUACCUGUUUUUUAGUUAUAGAUCUCCAUGUUCUCUUUUCACAAUGCCUGAUCAAAUGCUGAAAAGUAUGGAUUACCACCUACAUAUGAAGCAGUGUAAUAUCUGCAUGACUGAAUGCAAUUGUAGUUACCUAGUAGUUUUAUUCUAAAAGAAAAAGAAGUGAGAAAACACCUGUGGGAAUACAAAGUCCAGCCAAUGACAUAAUGUGAAUACAAGUAGCCAUUGUCAAGGGCAUGCAUUACAUGUAACCUUCAUGUCAACUAUUUAACUGUUCUUGAUGAAGUUUCAGGAGCUUUCUACUUGGUUGCUGUCAUUAAAUUAACUUUGACAUGCAAAAGCAUGAAAUUUUCUUUGAUCUGAUUGAAGAACAAUUCGAUGGUGAAGUAAGCGAAGCUCUCUUCUGGCGGUUGAUCCAAUCUUUGUGCUAAAUGCCAUAAGCAGCUGCCAUAGACAAAUACAAGUACUAAGAAGUGGCAACUGUUUUGCAGCAAGCAUAAGUAUUUUCACAGAAGACUACUUAACCUCAUGUCAGAACUGAAGCGCAGUAAUAUUAAAUUAAAUUUGCUGAUACCAUUUUAUGGCUUUUGUACAAAUUGCACUAUGAUAAAUGCUCAGUUCCUGUAUCUAAUUUUUUGGGUACGUUCUUAGUGUAAUCUUUUGAGAGAGUAUAUUCAUUCAUUCUUAGUGUUUGAACAAACCGAGGCUUGACAUGUAAUAAAAGCAAAUAUGCAUUCCAAUA
Musa acuminata AAA Group (dessert banana) is the source of this 1955-nucleotide long non-coding RNA. RefSeq lists it as uncharacterized. The transcript is spliced from 2 exons. The record is from RefSeq and is a predicted model, not a curated record. NCBI's taxonomy places the organism in Eukaryota, Viridiplantae, Streptophyta, Magnoliopsida, Zingiberales, Musaceae.